RNAcentral lists this transfer RNA (73 nucleotides) under Solanum tuberosum (potato). It matches the Rfam family "tRNA". From Rfam's summary of the family: Transfer RNA (tRNA) molecules are approximately 80 nucleotides in length. Their secondary structure includes four short double-helical elements and three loops (D, anti-codon, and T loops). Lineage: Eukaryota; Viridiplantae; Streptophyta; Magnoliopsida; Solanales; Solanaceae. The record is from Rfam by way of RNAcentral.
GGGUGUAUAGCUCAGUUGGUAGAGCAUUGGGCUUUUAACCGAAUGGUUGCAGGUUCAAGUCUUGUUAUACCCA